RNAcentral lists this ribosomal RNA (512 nucleotides) under uncultured bacterium. Its description in RNAcentral is "partial 16S ribosomal RNA". It matches the Rfam family "Bacterial small subunit ribosomal RNA", at positions 28 to 507 of the family's 1533-position model. The record is from RNAcentral.
GAUGAACGCUGGCGGCGUGCCUAAUACAUGCAAGUCGAACGACACUUCUUUAUCACCGAGUGCUUGCACUCACCGAUACAGGGUUGAGUUGCGAACGGGCGAGUAACACGUGGGCAACCUGCCCAAAAGAGGGGGAUAACACUUGGCAACAGGUGCUAAUACCGCAUAACCAUAGUUACCGCAUGGUAACUAUGUAAAUGGUGGCUAUACUACCGCUUUUGGAUGGGCCCGCGGCGCAUUAGCUAGGUGGUAGGGUAAAGGCUUACCAAGGCAAUGAUGCGUAGCCGAAUCGAGAAGUUGGACGGCCACAUUGGGACUGAGACACGGCCCAAACUCCUACGGGAGGCCGCAGUAGGGAAUCUUCCACAAUGGGCGGAAGCCUGAUGGAGCAACGCCGCGUGGGUGAAGAAGGUCUUCGGAUCUGAAAACCCUGUUGUUAGAGAAGAAAGUGCGUGAGAGUAACUGUUCACGGUUCGACGGUAUCUAACCAGAAAGCCACGGCUAACUACGUG